AGUGAACGCUGGCGGUAGGCCUAACACAUGCAAGUCGAACGGCAGCAUAGUAAGAGCUUGCUCUUACGGGUGGCGCGUGGCGGACGGGUGAGGUAUACAUUGGAAUCUACUUUUUCGUGGGGGAUAACGUAGGGAAACUUACGCUAAUACCGCAUACGGCCUACGGGUGAAAGCCGGGGAUCUUCGGACCUUGCGCGAUUGAAUGAGCCGAUGUCGGAUUAGCUAGUUGGCGGGGUAAAGGCCCACCAAGGCGACGAUCCGUAGCUGGUCUAAGAGGAUGUUCAGCCGCACGGGAGCUGAGACGCGGUCCAGACUCGUACGGGAGACAGCAGUGGGAAAUAUUGGACAAGGAGCGCAAGCCUGUACCAGCCAUACCGCGUGAGUGAAGAAGGCCUUCGGGUUGUAAAGCCCUUUUGUUGGGAAAGAAAAGCAGCGGUUAAUACCCCGCUGUUCUGACGGUACCCAAAGAAUAAGCACCGGCUAACUUCGUG
RNAcentral lists this ribosomal RNA (491 nucleotides) under uncultured bacterium. RNAcentral describes it as "partial 16S ribosomal RNA". It matches the Rfam family "Bacterial small subunit ribosomal RNA", at positions 29 to 507 of the family's 1533-position model. The record is from RNAcentral.